GACUCAACGAUCUGCAGGUGUUGAGAGA
Molecule: small RNA, 28 nt
Filed under: Bombyx mori (domestic silkworm)
Lineage: Eukaryota; Metazoa; Arthropoda; Insecta; Lepidoptera; Bombycidae
Description: ovarian small RNA-15610
Source: RNAcentral